GAUGAAGAACGUAGCGAAAUGCGAUAAGUAGUGUGAAUUGCAGAAUUCAGUGAAUCAUCGAAUCUUUGAACGCACAUUGCGCCCCUUGGUAUUCCAUGGGGCAUGCCUGUUCGAGCGUCAUUUGUACCUUCAAGCUCUGCUUGGUGUUGGGUGUUUGUCUCGCCUCUGCGUGUAGACUCGCCUCAAAACAAUUGGCAGCCGGCGUAUUGAUUUCGGAGCGCAGUACAUCUCGCGCUUUGCACUCAUAACGACGACGCCCAAAAGUACAUUUUUACACUCUUGACCUCGGAUCAGGUAGGGAUACCCGCUGAACUUAAGCAUAUCAAUAAGCGGAGGA
Molecule: unclassified non-coding RNA, 337 nt
Filed under: soil metagenome
Description: partial contains 5.8S ribosomal RNA, internal transcribed spacer 2, and large subunit ribosomal RNA
Rfam family: 5.8S ribosomal RNA (bases 1-120)
Source: RNAcentral